UAGGGAAUCUUCCGCAAUGGGCGAAAGCCUGACGGAGCAACGCCGCGUGAGUGAUGAAGGUCUUCGGAUCGUAAAACUCUGUUAUUAGGGAAGAACAAAUGUGUAAGUAACUAUGCACGUCUUGACGGUACCUAAUCAGAAAGCCACGGCUAACUACGUGCCAGCAGCCGCGGUAAUACGUAGGUGGCAAGCGUUAUCCGGGAUUAUUGGGCGUAAAGCGCGCGUAGGCGGUUUUUUAAGUCUGAUGUGAAAGCCCACGGCUCAACCGUGGAGGGUCAUUGGAAACUGGAAAACUUGAGUGCAGAAGAGGAAAGUGGAAUUCCAUGUGUAGCGGUGAAAUGCGCAGAGAUAUGGAGGAACACCAGUGGCGAAGGCGACUUUCUGGUCUGUAACUGACGCUGAUGUGCGAAAGCGUGGGGAUCAAACAGG
This 429-nucleotide ribosomal RNA is filed under the name Actinomycetes bacterium. Its description in RNAcentral is "Actinobacteria bacterium partial 16S ribosomal RNA". It matches the Rfam family "Bacterial small subunit ribosomal RNA", at positions 355 to 776 of the family's 1533-position model. The record is from RNAcentral. Lineage: Bacteria; Bacillati; Actinomycetota; Actinomycetes.